RNAcentral lists this long non-coding RNA (538 nucleotides) under Pan troglodytes (chimpanzee). RNAcentral describes it as "lincRNA". Lineage: Eukaryota; Metazoa; Chordata; Mammalia; Primates; Hominidae. The record is from RNAcentral.
AGAAGCCCGGCUCCUCGCCGGGGAAGGCCGGGUGUUGGCCCGCCGGGACCUGGGACUUGUGCCACAUGGAGUGUCGGGAGUCUCCAGUGCCGCGAGUUCUACACCACAGGGCCAGGCUGUUUGCUCCCCAUCGGUCGCUGCCCCCAGCACCCUGUUGUUAUUAAGGACUCAUUUGCUUGGAGCGGCAUCAUUACAAGGGUGUGGGCACCAGAUACUGCUACACCAUCUCAUUGGCAUGGACCUAUAUGUGGCAGCAAGUCCAUCUCAUCGCUUUUGGUGAAAGUCAGUCCAGUUUGUAAAGAUUCUCAUUGUCACUGUAGACGAGGAACUGGGACACCAAAAGGAGAAACUCUGGCCACCCUUGCACCCUGUUCCCAAUCCUGGUCCAGUGUCACCCACAGAUGGUAAGGAGCUCUAGAGACCUCACCAGCCCCUGGGAUUGGUCACCUCACUCUUCUAUGGACAGAGAUUCCUGCUGGGAUCCUUUGAGGGCAAGCAGACCCUUCUUCCAGCUUGGACUGUGAACUCCACUGCAGCC